AGUGAACGCUGGCGGUAGGCCUAACACAUGCAAGUCGAACGGCAGCACAGUAAGAGCUUGCUCUUACGGGUGGCGAGUGGCGGACGAGUGAGGAAUACAUCGGAAUCUACUUUUUCGUGGGGGAUAACGUAGGGAAACUUACGCUAAUACCGCAUACGACCUACGGGUGGAAGCAGGGGAUCUUCGGACCUUGCGCGACUGAAUGAGCCGAUGUCGGAUUAGCUAGUUGGCGGGGUAAAGGCCCACCAAGGCGACGAUCCGUAGCUGGUCUGAGAGGAUGAUCAGCCACACUGGAACUGAGACACGGUCCAGACUCCUACGGGAGGCAGCAGUGGGGAAUAUUGGACAAUGGGCGCAAGCCUGAUCCAGCCAUACCGCGUGGGUGAAGAAGGCCUUCGGGUUGUAAAGCCCUUUUGUUGGGAAAGAAAAGCAGCAGGUUAAUACCCCGCUGUUCUGACGGUACCCAAAGAAUAAGCACCGGCUAACUUCGUG
This 492-nucleotide ribosomal RNA is filed under the name uncultured bacterium. Its description in RNAcentral is "partial 16S ribosomal RNA". It matches the Rfam family "Bacterial small subunit ribosomal RNA", at positions 29 to 507 of the family's 1533-position model. The record is from RNAcentral.